Hippocampus zosterae (dwarf seahorse) is the source of this 817-nucleotide long non-coding RNA. RefSeq lists it as uncharacterized. The record is from RefSeq and is a predicted model, not a curated record. The transcript is spliced from 2 exons. NCBI's taxonomy places the organism in Eukaryota, Metazoa, Chordata, Actinopteri, Syngnathiformes, Syngnathidae.
CUAUGUGUUUCAAUUUCCUUCAUGGUCGGUGACGUUCCGUCUGUCCCUCAUCUCGGCAUGCGCACGUACGUGCGUAUGCGCACAUGUGUGUGCUUGGGUACCCGCGUGUUGCGUGCGUGUGUGUGUGUGUGUGUGUGUGUGUGUGUGUGUGUGUGUGUGUGUAUCAGUGAUGUGUUCCUCGAGCCGGUCCUUGGCCUCGAGGACUGGCUCGAGGACCGAAGGGCGGUCCUUGGUCCUCGGCCUUGGCCUCGGAGUCAAGUCCUUGGCCUUGGCCUUGGGUUGGGACCUCGGACACAACGAGGGAUUAGAGCCUCUAAUCCUUCGUCCACAAGUGUAAAGUGGGCCAGAGGACCGCAAAAAUCAUAAAGAAAUCAAACAACGUUCCGUUCGCGCUCGGCAGUUUAAAUAGCGUGUAAAGCCUUUCUGUAACAGUGGUGUCUUUUAUUUAGUUAUUUUUGCACAGUCGUCACGUUUGUGCAGUCACACUAGAAUGUUUGUUUGAACCAUGUAAUUUGCGUUACAGCUGGAGUCAAUAAUGUCGGCACUUCACUUGUGGGUUUGGCCGUUGGGAUUUGGAGUCCUUUUGCUCGAUUCCAGUUUUCCAAAUAAUGUGCAUUUUUGGGACGCAAGGAAAUUUCUCAGUCAAAACAAAUAAACAAACAAAAAAAACUACGGCAAGCCUCAGGAUUUCACGGGAACAAUCGUUACCGGUAGCGUGUCUUUUCCGUGGCGUCAUUUCAACGGUACCGAAAAAUAGUUUAACCAUAAAAGGAAGAGGAUGUCAAGCCACAUCAAUACUUACCUGUAUUAAUGAUUA